Molecule: transfer RNA, 70 nt
Filed under: Colwellia psychrerythraea
Lineage: Bacteria; Pseudomonadati; Pseudomonadota; Gammaproteobacteria; Alteromonadales; Colwelliaceae
Description: tRNA-Pro
Rfam family: tRNA
About the family: Transfer RNA (tRNA) molecules are approximately 80 nucleotides in length. Their secondary structure includes four short double-helical elements and three loops (D, anti-codon, and T loops).
Source: RNAcentral
AUUUAAGUAGCUCAGAGGAUAGAGCAACAGCUUGGUGCUGUUGGCGAAGGUUCGAAUCCUUCCUUAAAUA